Musa acuminata AAA Group (dessert banana) is the source of this 3638-nucleotide RNA transcript. RefSeq lists it as uncharacterized. The transcript has 5 exons. The record is from RefSeq and is a predicted model, not a curated record. NCBI's taxonomy places the organism in Eukaryota, Viridiplantae, Streptophyta, Magnoliopsida, Zingiberales, Musaceae.
CUGAAAGGUUGGGGGGGAGGGGGGGGGGAGCGGACGGGGGGAAAGAAACCCGCUGCCGAACGAAACCACUCCUUUCCGCCGCCGCCUCUUCCUUCGCCUUUCCUUCCCCCCCUCUUUCUCUCUGCCGCCUCUCUCAACCGCCAACCGCUUCCGAUGGCCGAGGAUGCCGAGAGAAUGGCGGCGCUGAAGCGGGCAUUUGCGGAUGUUAUCUUGAACACGGCGAAGGAGUCGGCGGUUCGGAUUCUGGCCUCGGAGCGGAGGGUGCUCCAGCUUCAGCAGAGUCUGUCGCUUGCCAGGGAAGAGUCACUGGACAUGCUUCUCCGAUUGAAGUCCAUCAUGGACUCCAAGAUUAAUGAAUCGGAAAAGUCCAAUCUAUCUCAGGUAAGGAAAAUUCAAAAACUUGAAGUUCAACUCGGUGAAGCAAAGGGUACAAUAAAUUUUCUUAGAUCUGAACUGAAGAGAUUGAAUUCUGAAUUGGAUCAAAGGAUGGAUAUUCAAGCUGAGUUUCCCGAUGGGAAAAGCACAGGUCACAAUGCCACUUCUGAGAAAUAUAAUUGUAAAGAAAACAUACAUAAUUCUGACUCACACCUGUACUCUAAAAGAGGAGCCAAAAGUGUACCGAAUUCUGACUGCUGCUUCACCAACGGCGUGACACAAGAUGAACCUUUGAAUAAUUUGAUUGCAGUGGAUAAUUACGCUGGCAACCCUGACUUGGCAUCAAUAAUACUGAGCAACAAAGAGCCAGAGCUUUAUCGAAACGGAUGCACCCAGAGGAUUCGAGCUUUUGAGCGGAAUCAAGUAUCUGGGAAAGAGUUCUCUAUACAAAUCCAUGACCAGGUCUCAGACAUAAAGAGUGAAACAAUGAUGUGUGAGAAUGGAAAACCUGAAAGGUCUCACACCAAAGAUUUUGCUAUGGUGAAGAAACCAGUGUGUCGUAGGAAACGAAGAGUGCAUUGUAAAAAGCAUAUUAUGAAGUCCACAGAAUGUGGUUAUCAUGACAUGCGACAUUGUAGAUCCCUGGAGAGUAGUCAUUCUAAGUUUUCUAUGGCGGCCAAUGACCAUAUGUCAAACAUAAAGAAUGAACCAAACAUGUGCGAGAAUAAAAAAGCUGAAAGGCCCUGGGCCAUAGAUUUUGGUAUGGCAGAAAAAAUAGUAAGAAGAAAGAUGCGGCAUCAAAAACGCAUGAGGCCUGCUAAAUGUAUUACUUAUCAUGACAUGCAACAUUAUGGAUUGCUAGGUAGUAAUCAUUCCAAGGUUGGAGAAAAUGACAAGGAUAGAUCUGCUGGUAAUUCACAGAGGCCUAGCGGUGAAGCACCUCUAAAGACACUGGAUUCUUGUUCACCUCAGAUGUCUGGAGAAAAUCAGGAAACAACAAAAGAUCAAAAGACUAAGUUGAACAAAUUUUCCAAUCAUAGAAUCUCAGGGCUUUUAGAUGGCAAUAGAAUAAUGACAAGGAGAUCUGUUCUGAAACUAUGCAAUACUUGUGAAGAUCAUACUGGUGGAAGCCAUACUUCUGGUAGUGGAGCCACUUUUCAAGAAAAUAGUCUAAAGGAAUCUUUGGUACUAGGUACAAGUGAGGUGAUUGAUGAUGCAGUUUCAGAUGCUGUUAAAAAUGGCACACUGCUACAUGAGAUAAUGUUGUCAAAAGAAGAUGAUAAAUUAGCAGAAGAUUUGGGCACUUCUAUAACAAAAGAGGGUCACGAUGAUUGUAAAGAUGAACCUUGCAAGCCAUGUGGACCUGCUGCUGUAGAUCGAAGUGACAAAAUCCUCAAAUAUACCUUUCAGAGGAAGCGGAAGAGGGUUUCUAUAGAUAGCAAAGUUGACUCUACAACUUUAGAGGGAAGCAUGUCCAAGCAAAGAGUGGAGAAAGAUAAUGCUGUGCUGGACCCUCAGAAAUCUAGCUUACUAGUGGAAUCAUCCAGAGAGAGUAGGAGACUGGCACAGGUUGCUCGACAGUUAUGUAGGUGAAUGCAUUAUGACUAGAGGUGCCAUGACAAUUUCAUGUACUGGUGUAAACAAAGCUGAAAAUGACCUGAUACGGGGAUCAUGUUCAGGCCUAGUUCAUCUAUUUCGGAGAUUGAAGAAAUGGUUGAUGUUUUAUGGAGGUAGCUAGAACAGAAUCCAAGGACACAAGGGUGAGAAGAGGUGCAUGCAUGGGCAUUGAGAUGGAAGAUGAAGAUGGUAUGGCAUGGUGGCUACAAUGUGAAGAGAAGUGCGAUUACAAGGCAUGACAGAGAAGGCUAAAGAGAGAGAGAACUAUGGCCAAGUACCAGAGAAGUCUUAGGGUUUCAAAUCAUAUCUCAUAUUAUAUAUACUACUAUGUUAUCUCAGUUUUUAGAUAAAAAUAAAUGGCUAAAAUUAGAGAGCUCGAGUUUUAUACAACAACAAUAGGAUAUGAUGUCCCACCAAAAGACUCAAGCUAUAUUAUGCAAGGUUUAAAUCUUGAGUCAGUGUCGAUACUAGUUGGUGGCUGGACUAGUAUGGUACCAGUUUAUCUCAUCAUAACGAUUCUUGGUACAGGUUGGUAUAUCACAAGCCCAACAGAAGAGGAGGUAGAGGAGCAAGAGGAACAUGAAAAGAAGAUAAAGUAGAGGAAGACAAGGGGGGAGAGAGGCGUGCCUUAUGCUGGAGAGGAGGCAGCGACCCUUACAAGGAGGAGAAAGUGGUGGUGGUGGCAACCCUUACAAGGAGGAGAAAGUGGCGAGUGACAAGUUGGAGGCAGCAGUGGCAAAUUGGUGGGGAGGAAGAGGCGGAGGGGAGAGAGAUAUGAUGCAUGAGAGAAAGAAAGAGAAUGUGCAACGAUAAAAAGAAAGGGAAAAGAAAUGAAAAAGAAAAGACAGCUGUCAAGCUAUUGAAAGAAAAAAAGAAAAAGGAAACCGAAUGGUAGGCUUACAAUUUGGUACACCCUGUUUCGAUUGAAAUAAGAGGAUGUUACAUCUGAGACGCUGAUUAUAUCAAGCUGUAAGCCUGGUAUGAAAUGGUACCAGACAAAAAUUUGUGGUCCACAUACCAAUUCACUGUUAGAAUGUUAAAUACUGGUCUGUACCUACCAGUACACUUGAUUUUUAACACCAUGAUGUUAUGUAACAUCUAUAGUAAGCAUAGGUGGACUUGCAAGAUCUUAAAGAAGGUGAGUUUUUCUUAACAAGCUGUACGCAAGAGUUAGCAAACAACACACUAUUUCAACGGAAGCUCAUAUGUCUUGCAAACAAGCCAAAUGACGAGCCAACCAUGUUCAGUUAGCAAACAUUGCAUUAGGCUUACUGCCCUUCAACCAUGUUUCUGUCUGUCAUGGCUAAGUGUUACAUUGGCCUUUCACCUAAAAUUUUGCAUUUCUACAGGCUUUACAGUGUCUAUGGAAAAGACACUAGUGAAGAAUUAAAUCUAGGCAUAGGGAACUCUAUAUUAUAUUAUGCCACUAAUGAUGAAUCAAAUUUCAAUUGGAUUCUGUAGUUAUUCAAAUAAAUCUAUACAUACAUAUAUAUAGAUAAAUGUCAUCUUUUACUCAUUAAUUUCUACCCACAGAUUGGAAUGAUAGAGAACAAAAUUGACUUUGAGAUCUGAUGUUCCUUGAGAGUAUAUGCAGGCACCUUAAUUAAGUAAGCCUUUCCAUGGGAUUAUUUAUGAUUAUCCAAAAU